Long non-coding RNA from Orcinus orca (killer whale), 1859 nucleotides. RefSeq lists it as uncharacterized. The record is from RefSeq and is a predicted model, not a curated record. The transcript is spliced from 3 exons. NCBI's taxonomy places the organism in Eukaryota, Metazoa, Chordata, Mammalia, Artiodactyla, Delphinidae.
CAUCAGCACGGCUCUGAAAGGGGGAUGGGAGAGCGAGCAGAAAGCAGAAAAACCAGCUUUGAACUAUGCAUGCAAGGCCUCUCUCAAGACUCAAAUUCUCAAUCCCGGACACCUGCACUGAGCUCUGGCUCUCUGCCCUGCAGUGCGGAAGGCGCUGGAAUACACCUGUAGAGGUGACAAGCUUCCUGCUCCAAUUUCAUACGUGAUGAAAAUUGACUGCAGAAGACCCACUGCUAUGAAUUUAAGGCUCCAGAUUCUGUGUGCUCAUCUCCAGCCUGCUCCGUGACAACUAGGCUGUCCCACGACGUGCAGUUGACAUGCAAGGUGAGGAGCAUUGCCAGCACUCAAGCAGAGGCGGUGGAUGAGUGUGAGGGCACACGCAGCAGAGCCGGGGGUCCCCUGUCAUCCGUGCAGGCUAACGGGUCGAGCUUGCCCAGGAGCCCUGUGGAGCUUGGCUGUGCUCAGCCCCAGCAGUGACGGCUGACAGCCACAGAGGUGAGUGUCCGCUGUCAAGAUUCUUUGUGCAACACACUCCCUCCUCCCACACCCUCCUGUCUGCUCAAGGAUGGACUCUGUAUGUGCACACAGGCUCUUUUAAAAAGCCCAUCAAACUCGUCCUAGAAACACGACCCUGCCAAUCCCCUUCCGAUUACAGAGCGCCAAAGAGACACACUGACUUGAGCCCCCAACUAUAUGCUCUCAUCCUUGAAUGGGAUUUUUACUAAGAAGUGAGAGCUGCUUUAUUUUUUAAUAAGGUGCUUAAGGAUAUUUGGAAAGAGUUUUCCAAGAAGCCAUACUGCCACGCACAGACAGAACUCUGAACCGUGAGCCAGGGCCUGGGUUCCCUUUUCUCCUACAGCCAACAGUUCCUUCCUCGAAAUGUGCUUUCUUGGGCUCUGACCGCGAUGUCUGUCGUUCUUUCCACCUAAUCAUGAAAGCGUGGGUCUUUCUUCCUUACAAACACCAUCCAUAACUCUCCUGUUCCACGGAAUUCCCCAAGUUAAAACCAUCCUGCACAGCUUUCUCUAGAUGCCCCCAGAAAGCCCUAGCGGUUACUCCACAGUCUCAAACAGCCCCUCCUAGGAGACGUACUCGUUUCCAAUGUUGUUACAGACACACACGUCCUGCACACUAAAGUCCGUUUCCUUUUUAUUCUCCUGUAAUGCCGAACCCAGUGCCAUGCACAUAAUGACCGUGACAAACAGCUGGGUACAGACAUGAGCAAAAACAACACCGCUGCUCCUACCCAGACAGGAGAGUGGACUGUGCGUCUUACCGAACGGAGCUUUUUGCACUAGGACUGGGUGAUCCGGCCAAUACACGGAGCAGACCGAGGCCAGGGGUAUCGACAGCCGCCACAGGGCGCACGCUGAGGUAAGGCUUCCAACGUCCGGGACAACACAGUUACCCGAACACCUGCCGCCUCUCCCUCUGGCCUCCCUCCAGAGAGCUCUCCUCGGGACGGGACGGGCAGAGUGAGUGUCUAGCAAAGAAAACCUGGCUCCAUCACCCCCUCCAGCUUAAGGGCUGUCUCCAAACUCCCGCAACCGUGGUCACCACCUCCCUGCUCGGGCUGGGCCUGGCGGCCCGCUCUCCACGCUCAGGUCCUGGCGAGGCCCUCCCCGCUGCCCAGGCGUCGCUCCUGGCCCCCUCGGCUGUAACUCCGUCCCUCUGCCAACCCCGAGGGGACGUCCCCGCACAGGGACCCGUAGCUGAGGCGCCUGCGAAGUCUGAGGGUUGCUCUGAGGACGUGCGAAGACCCGAAGGGGAGGAGCUCUACGUGUGGGUGUGCGCGCGCGCGCACGUGUGUAUGUGCGUGUGCGUGCGCGCGCGCGCGCGCGGCACUGAGAGCCCGCGUG